UACGUAGGGACCAAGCGUUGUUCGGAUUUACUGGGCGUAAAGGGCGCGUAGGCGGCAUGACAAGUCACUUGUGAAAUCUCCGGGCUUAACUCGGAACGGCCAAGUGAUACUGUCAAGCUAGAGUGCAGAAAGGGCAAUCGGAAUUCUUGGUGUAGCGGUGAAAUGCGUAGAUAUCAAGAGGAACAUCUGAGGCGAAGGCGGGUUGCUAGGCUGACACUGACGCUGAAGCGCGAAAGCCAGGGGAGCAAACGGG
Molecule: ribosomal RNA, 253 nt
Filed under: uncultured bacterium
Lineage: Bacteria
Description: partial 16S ribosomal RNA
Rfam family: Bacterial small subunit ribosomal RNA
Source: RNAcentral